GGGAUUGUGGCUCAGUGGUAGAGUUCUUGCCUGGCAGGCAUAAGGCCCUGGGUUCAAUUCCUGGCACCA
This 69-nucleotide transfer RNA is filed under the name Cavia porcellus (domestic guinea pig). It matches the Rfam family "tRNA". Rfam says of the family: Transfer RNA (tRNA) molecules are approximately 80 nucleotides in length. Their secondary structure includes four short double-helical elements and three loops (D, anti-codon, and T loops). Further hydrogen bonds mediate the characteristic L-shaped molecular structure. tRNAs have two regions of fundamental functional importance: the anti-codon, which is responsible for specific mRNA codon recognition, and the 3' end, to which the tRNAs corresponding amino acid is attached (by aminoacyl-tRNA synthetases). tRNAs cope with the degeneracy of the genetic code in two manners: having more than one tRNA (with a specific anti-codon) for a particular amino acid; and 'wobble' base-pairing, i.e. permitting non-standard base-pairing at the 3rd anti-codon position. The record is from Rfam by way of RNAcentral. Lineage: Eukaryota; Metazoa; Chordata; Mammalia; Rodentia; Caviidae.